GGUGGUGGUGCAUGGCCGUUCUUAGUUGGUGGAGCGAUUUGUCUGGUUAAUUCCAAUAAUGAACGAGACUCUGGCAUGCUAACUAGUUUCGUGACCCCCGAGUGGUCGGCGUCCCCCAACUUCUUAGAGGGACAAGUGGCGUUCAGCCACCUGAGAUUGAGCAAUAACAGGUCUGUGAUGCCCUUAGAUGUCCGGGGCUGCAUGUGCGCUACACUGACUGGCUCAGUGUGUGCCUACCCUAUGCCGGCAGGCGCGGGUAACCUGUUGAACCCCAUUCUUGAUGUGAUUGGGGAUUGCAAUUAUUCCCCAUGAACGAGGAAUUCCCAGUAAGUGCGGGUCAUAAGCUUGCGUUGAUUAAGUCUCCCUGCCCUUUGUACACACUGCACGUCGCUACUACCGAUUGGAUGGUUUAGUGAGGCCCUCGGAUCGGCCCCGCCGGGGUCGGCCC
This 448-nucleotide non-coding RNA is filed under the name Fukomys damarensis (Damara mole-rat). RNAcentral describes it as "Eukaryotic small subunit ribosomal RNA". It matches the Rfam family "Eukaryotic small subunit ribosomal RNA", at positions 1273 to 1736 of the family's 1831-position model. Lineage: Eukaryota; Metazoa; Chordata; Mammalia; Rodentia; Bathyergidae. The record is from Rfam by way of RNAcentral.